This 300-nucleotide ribosomal RNA is filed under the name uncultured Lactobacillus sp. RNAcentral describes it as "bacterial SSU rRNA". It matches the Rfam family "Bacterial small subunit ribosomal RNA", at positions 496 to 795 of the family's 1533-position model. The record is from RNAcentral. Lineage: Bacteria; Bacillati; Bacillota; Bacilli; Lactobacillales; Lactobacillaceae.
GGUACAGCCGGUGAAGAGGGCGGGGGAAUACGGAGGGUGCAAGCGUUAGCCGGAUUUAUUGGGUUUAAAGGGUCCGUAGGCGGACUUAUAAGUCAGUGGUGAAAGCCUGUCGCUUAACGAUAGAACUGCCAUUGAUACUGUAAGUCUUGAGUAUAUUUGAGGUAGCUGGAAUAAGUAGUGUAGCGGUGAAAUGCAUAGAUAUUACUUAGAACACCAAUUGCGAAGGCAGGUUACCAAGAUAUAACUGACGCUGAGGGACGAAAGCGUGGGGAGCGAACAGGAUUAGAUACCCUAGUAGUC